Long non-coding RNA from Brassica oleracea var. oleracea, 1293 nucleotides. RefSeq lists it as uncharacterized. Lineage: Eukaryota; Viridiplantae; Streptophyta; Magnoliopsida; Brassicales; Brassicaceae. The record is from RefSeq and is a predicted model, not a curated record. The transcript is spliced from 7 exons.
UAUGAUUUUUUCGUAUGACAUAUAUUUGUAUCUCUCUAAUAUAAUGGUUUUGAUUUUGCAGACCAAAACUACUAAUCGGAUGCGCUGAACUCAGGAAGUAAGGGAGUAUGACAAUUCAAUUCGACGGUAUGAAGGUUUUGUAUUUAGUAUUGGACCCUCAGUAUCUCAGGAUAGGCACGGUCUCUCACCUCCCUGUUUCACGAAGGAUUAGUUUCAGUAACGUUUGAUGUUCAUCCUACUGCCUCUGGUUAGUCAAAUCCGUAAUGGUCUCGAGGUGCAUUCAGUCUAUCUAAUUUCCUUCUCAUUAACGCCAUUGAUCUACCACCUCUACUACUCCGCAUUUAAGACAUCCCCGUCUUCCUCCAUGUUAGCCAAUCUAGACCUAUAAAUAAGAGUCUGCAUCGUAGAUACACAUCAUUGCUCCUUAUCGAACACUAUACUAAGAGAAUCAAUCACCAACUAUGUCGACCUCCCCAUUUUGAUCGCCUAUUUGAAAGCCGGCUACUGUCACGAACACCGUCAAAGUCCGAUUGUUGAGGUUUUGGAAAGCUCAUGGGGUAGACAUGUCCUCUUCGACCAGAAGGUAAUUUCGGCCAUCCAUGUCCUCUUCGACCAGAAGGUCUUCAAAACGAAUUGCAGUAUACUAGGAAAAUCUAUGUCACCGGCACGGAAGAGCACACAAAACCACCAUGAACGUGCUUAUAAUAGCUGGAAUCAUAGGAGAAGAAGGCAUCGAGUGAAAAAGCUGAAUUUUAAUUGAACAAGAGAUUCACAUGUUGCGAGAAAAAAGAUUUGCUCAAUGGAAAGAGAGGUUUUCCACAGGAGAUCAUAUAAGGAAGUGGAACUCAGGAGCAUCCAACACUUAUAUCCUUUAGAGACCCUGACCAUCUUUAUUUUCACUAAGUUUUUGGAGAAGAUGGGGAAGAUACAAUAUCUUCAGACCUCAAAGCAUGUCUAAAUGAAGAAGAAGACAGAGAUCUGGUGUCUUUUGUUGGGAGGUAGCAAACGUGUGGGACAACAUAGUUUGGCUUAUCAGUAAAGAGCAUGCUUUCAAGAAGACUAUGUUUCUCUCGGUCGUAAAACUGUGACUUCUCAACGCCUGCAAUUCAUCGGAUCCGCUACCAAUCUUCCUCUCCCACAGUGCCGCCUCCUAUGCAGCCUUCAUCAACAUCAGCAUACAGUUUUGCAUUUAACAUUUUUUUUAUCGUCUAACUUUAGACAAUUGUACUUAAUACAUUACCACUUACAUACUAGUGUUAUAGUUAACUAGUAAAUUUAGACACUAAUAUUAUC